AUACUACUGACAGACCGCAACCU
RNAcentral lists this microRNA (23 nucleotides) under Sus scrofa (pig). RNAcentral's name for it is "ssc-miR-10390". Lineage: Eukaryota; Metazoa; Chordata; Mammalia; Artiodactyla; Suidae. The record is from miRBase by way of RNAcentral.